UGUAUCGUGAUUGGCCAAAAUUUCAAACUUUGACUUCCGUGAAUUCUGAUUGGACAAUUGCCAUUCCGCCAUCAAAUUUUGAAAUGGGCAAAGAAGACAGGAGUUGUUGUGAAGAUUUUCCUGAUUUUUUCAAGAAAUAUGCAGAAUCACAGCGUGUUGUAUGUAGUUAUGAAACUGCAAGCAGUGGUUUCAUAAAGAUAGACAUGCUUAAGACCUGGAUGAUAUGGCUUUAGUUGUGGAUGACCAUUUCCAUUCAGGGUAAGUCUGAUAUACAAACAAGUCAUUUUGAAUAAUUCAUUUGUGUUUGCUUAUCUCAAUUUCUAUAUUAUUGCUUUGCACUUAGAAAUGAAUUACAUUUGGAAUAUUUCUAGAAUUCUAAUAAGAAGUGCAUGAUUUUACCAUCUAUAUCAAAGCCUAUGCAGCCAUGUAUAUCUAGUGAUGUACAUUCUAUAUGUAAUCAAAUUAUGGCCGACUCUUUUAAAAAGAGUAUCAUUGUAUUGCAGAAAAAAUCCCAACCAAGUCCAGCUAGUAGACUGUACACCAGAUUGAAGAUACAUCAUUAAUACAAGAUGAAAAAAAUUAAUGGAGGACAAGGAUAAUACUAUGAAAGAGAUCAGAUGCAAGAGCAACCGUUCCCAUAGAAAUACAUGCAGCCAUGUAAACAGAAACCAGUUUUCACCUGCCAGGUGCUGGUCACAUAUAUAUUCAACUUGGAACAGAUUCAAGAAACAGAUCCAGUUGUUUGCUGAUAAAUUACUGCAGGUCAUUGGUAUCAUCUAGAACCAGGACUGUUUUAAAAAUCAUACUAGUAUGUUUGAAACAAAAUCAUGCUAGUAUAUGUUAGGAAUUUAACCUAAAACAUGCUUUAUGAAGGUUUUGGUCAAAUUUUGGUUUACAAAAUAAUGUUUUUCAAACUUUCUAUUCAAAUUUAGCAAGAACAUUAGACACACAUGUAAUCCCAAAUGCUUUUAUGUUAGAUUAUUGCUUUAUUUAAAAAACUUGCAUAUAGGGUCUGUAAUGAUUUGAGAUUAUUAUGUAAACAAUAAAAUGCUUUCUUUGGUGACAUAUGCGGGAUAUGAAUGUAGCGACAUUGCAGAAAAAAUACAUUACCCGCAUUAGCGAGUUAUGUAAAUUUUUUCUGCAAUCAUUGCUCCCUUCAUUACCUGCAUGAAUCGUCAAAGAAAGCAUUAUAUUGUUUAUAUUUACAUCUUUCUUUUAACAAAUUAAUAAAUUGUU
Molecule: long non-coding RNA, 1236 nt
Organism: Magallana angulata
Lineage: Eukaryota; Metazoa; Mollusca; Bivalvia; Ostreida; Ostreidae
Exons: 3
Source: RefSeq, a predicted model, not a curated record